GGCCAAAUAGGAACCAAAAUGAGGCAUUUUGAUAGAUGACCAACAGUACAUGGUUUUGUAUUUUUCUGAAAGGAGGUGUCUUUCUUUGGAUAUGAUUUAUUGAGACUGUGAUGUUAAUAUUCUUGAUUUCUUGGAAUUGUCUUUAACAUCUGUCGAUGCCAAGAUGGGAAGAUCUACAGGUACAGUGGACGAGAGGAUGGAAUUGGAUAUCUUGGUUUGUAGGAAUUUGAUCGAAGAUGCGUUAGAACGAAUCAAUGAUAUUGUUCCUUCCAGGGAUCCACCGUGUCCAUUUGUUAUGGAAGGUGGUUAUAUCACAGAUGACAAUACUAUGGAUCCUGAACUCAUGUCUUUGCCGUUGGAAAGACGAGGAUAAAAUUUUCUGGAGGAUGGAUCACAAAGGCGAGAGAAAUAUACUCGACAUCCAUGUAGGUAUCUAGAUACCUACGGUGUCGACCUGAAAUGAAGGCAUUGUUCCUCGAUCACGUAGCUAUAUAGUUACGAGAUUCUAACUUUCACGUAUCACUGUCAUCGCAUUAGCUCUUUGCGAAUUCUUUUUUUUUUUUGUUUUUGUUAUUUAUAAACGUGGAAAAGAAAGAAAGAGCUGUUAUAAGUAAAAGUCCUCUUAUGAAUA
Long non-coding RNA from Brassica napus (rape), 631 nucleotides. RefSeq lists it as uncharacterized. Lineage: Eukaryota; Viridiplantae; Streptophyta; Magnoliopsida; Brassicales; Brassicaceae. The record is from RefSeq and is a predicted model, not a curated record. The transcript has 4 exons.